AGCUUGUUGGUGGGGUGAUGGCCUACCAAGGCUGCGACGGGUAGCCGGCCUGAGAGGGUGUCCGGCCACACUGGGACUGAGACACGGCCCAGACUCCUACGGGAGGCAGCAGUGGGGAAUAUUGCACAAUGGGCGGAAGCCUGAUGCAGCGACGCCGCGUGAGGGAUGACGGCCUUCGGGUUGUAAACCUCUGUUGCCCCAGACGAAGCGAGAGUGACGGUAUGGGGUGAGGAAGCACCGGCUAACUACGUGCCAGCAGCCGCGGUAAUACGUAGGGUGCGAGCGUUGUCCGGAAUUAUUGGGCGUAAAGAGCUCGUAGGCGGCUCGUCGCGUCGGAUGUGAAAGCCCGGGGCUUAACUCCGGGUCUGCAUUCGAUACGGGCGGGCUUGAGUUCGGUAGGGGAGACUGGAAUUCCUGGUGUAGCGGUGAAAUGCGCAGAUAUCAGGAGGAACACCGGUGGCGAAGGCGGGUCUCUGGGCCGAUACUGACGCUGAGGAGCGAAAGCGUGGGGAGCGAACAGGAUUAGAUACCCUGGUAGUCCACGCUGUAAACGUUGGGCGCUAGGUGUGGGUGACAUCCACGUUGUCCGUGCCGUAGCUAACGCAUUAAGCGCCCCGCU
RNAcentral lists this ribosomal RNA (619 nucleotides) under Amycolatopsis sp. CVIYE12. RNAcentral's name for it is "bacterial SSU rRNA". It matches the Rfam family "Bacterial small subunit ribosomal RNA", at positions 243 to 873 of the family's 1533-position model. Lineage: Bacteria; Bacillati; Actinomycetota; Actinomycetes; Pseudonocardiales; Pseudonocardiaceae. The record is from RNAcentral.